Molecule: ribosomal RNA, 253 nt
Filed under: uncultured bacterium
Lineage: Bacteria
Description: partial 16S ribosomal RNA
Rfam family: Bacterial small subunit ribosomal RNA
Source: RNAcentral
GACGGAAGGUGCAAGCGUUGCUCGGAAUCACUGGGCGUAAAGGGUGCGUAGGCGGCUGUGCAAGUCUGGCGUGAAAGCCCCGGGCUCAGCCCGGGAAGUGCGCUCGAAACUGCGCGGCUCGAGUGCCGGAGGGGAGAGUGGAAUUCCUGGUGUAGCGGUGAAAUGCGUAGAUAUCAGGAGGAACACCGGUGGCGAAGGCGGGUCUCUGGGCAGUAACUGACGCUGAGGAGCGAAAGCGUGGGGAGCGAACAGG